GGGGGGGCAAAUUGCCCCGGGCCCCGAGUUGCUGGGGGCCCCUGAAAAAUUUUUGCCGGGCCCCAGCCUUUUUUGUGUGUUAAAUAUUUCCGCGCAAAGGACAAGAGAUCUGUUUUUUUGGGCUAAUUACCGAAUUUUGGCAUAAAAAAAUGCGAUAAAGUCCCUCGAAAGCAAUUGCAACGUACUCGUCCGGAAAAAUUUUGUACUCCGGAAAAAUUUUUUUACCCCUAAAAUGGUACACUGACCGAAAUUUUUUUU
RNAcentral lists this long non-coding RNA (258 nucleotides) under Paramuricea clavata. Lineage: Eukaryota; Metazoa; Cnidaria; Anthozoa; Malacalcyonacea; Plexauridae. The record is from RNAcentral.